GGGGAUAUGGCGGAAUGGUAGACGCAGCGGACUCAAAAUCCGUUGGUUUCGACCGUGAGGGUUCGAAUCCCUCUAUCCCCA
This 81-nucleotide transfer RNA is filed under the name Matteuccia struthiopteris (ostrich fern). RNAcentral describes it as "tRNA-Leu". It matches the Rfam family "tRNA". Rfam says of the family: Transfer RNA (tRNA) molecules are approximately 80 nucleotides in length. The record is from RNAcentral. Lineage: Eukaryota; Viridiplantae; Streptophyta; Polypodiopsida; Polypodiales; Onocleaceae. RNAcentral also lists the same sequence under 1 other name.